AACGAACGCUGGCGGCAUGCCUAACACAUGCAAGUCGAACGAGAUCUUCGGGUCUAGUGGCGCACGGGUGCGUAACGCGUGGGAAUCUGCCCUUUGGUUCGGAAUAACAGCUGGAAACGACUGCUAAUACCGGAUGAUGACGAAAGUCCAAAGAUUUAUCGCCAGAGGAUGAGCCCGCGUAGGAUUAGCUAGUUGGUGUGGUAAAGGCGCACCAAGGCGACGAUCCUUACCUGGUCUGAGAGGAUGAUCAGCCACACUGGGACUGGGACACCGCGCAGACUCCUACGGGAGGCAGCAGUGGUGAAUAUUGGAAAAUGCGCGAAAGCCUGGUCCCGCCAUGCCGCGUGAGUGAUGAAGGCCUUAGGGUUGUAAAGCUCUUUUACCCGGGAUGAUAAUGACAGUACCGGGAGAAUAAGCUCCGGCUAACUCCGUGCCAGCCGCCGCAGUAA
This 449-nucleotide ribosomal RNA is filed under the name uncultured bacterium. Its description in RNAcentral is "partial 16S ribosomal RNA". It matches the Rfam family "Bacterial small subunit ribosomal RNA", at positions 29 to 523 of the family's 1533-position model. The record is from RNAcentral.